Molecule: long non-coding RNA, 695 nt
Organism: Monodelphis domestica (gray short-tailed opossum)
Lineage: Eukaryota; Metazoa; Chordata; Mammalia; Didelphimorphia; Didelphidae
Source: Ensembl
CUAUCCCAAGAUAUUUGGAAUAGACAACCGUGCACAAUUAUUCCUAAGUUCUGUAAUGGCUUUGCUCACUUCUUCAUUUGAGCUUAAUGCCAUCAACCAGGAGAGUAAGCAUGUCCCAUCCCCUUUCACCCUGGGACUCCUUUGGGCAUUGUAGGUCAAUACCAAAUAGGUUUUUGUUUUUUGUUUUCCCUCCACCGAACCUGGGCUUUUGGUAAGGGAUAGAUGUGAGGCAAGGCCAGUCCCAGGUCGGAGGUGUGGGGGUGGGGACUGUGCCCUUUCCCCUUGUUGCUGGUGGUGUAUCCCUUAAUGUGUGUUUGGAGCCGGAACCCCAAUUGCAGAGUGUGGCAAAAGCAAGGGCUCCAGCUGAAGGGAGGGGUGGAGGAAGGAGGUGUGUGGAAGAGCUGCGCAGGCCCAGAGUAAAAGGCAGGCCAGGAGGCUUGGAGCGCAGGCGCUCAGGGGCAGGCAGGUGGCACGCAGGCGCAGUAGGGGCAGGCAGGUGGCACGUGGCGGAGGGGGAGGGGAGCGGAAAGUUCCUGCCUUUUCUGUCAGAGCCUCCCUGUGUCGCUGUGCCUAGCAUUAAGGUCCGCCAAGGCAAAAGACUGGAAGUUGCAUGUGGACUGUGUGAGGUUUUCUCCCUCCCCUUGCCUUCCUUCCUGCUUUCUUCCCUCCCUGGUGAAAUGAAGGUCCCCUCAUGA